UACAGAGGUCCCAAGCGUUUGUUCGGAUUCACUGGGCGUAAAGGGUGCGUAGGUGGUGAGGUAAGUCGGAUGUGAAAUCUCCGGGCUUAACUCGGAACGGUCAAGUGAUACUGUCGGACUAGAGUACAGAAGGGGCAACUGGAAUUCUCGGUGUAGCGGUGAAAUGCGUAGAUAUCGAGAGGAACACCUGCGGCGAAGGCGGGUUGCUGGGCUGAUACUGACGCUGAGGCGCGAAAGCCAGGGGAGCGAACGGG
RNAcentral lists this ribosomal RNA (254 nucleotides) under uncultured bacterium. RNAcentral's name for it is "partial 16S ribosomal RNA". It matches the Rfam family "Bacterial small subunit ribosomal RNA", at positions 524 to 776 of the family's 1533-position model. The record is from RNAcentral.